Oncorhynchus keta (chum salmon) is the source of this 1002-nucleotide long non-coding RNA. RefSeq lists it as uncharacterized. The transcript is spliced from 4 exons. NCBI's taxonomy places the organism in Eukaryota, Metazoa, Chordata, Actinopteri, Salmoniformes, Salmonidae. The record is from RefSeq and is a predicted model, not a curated record.
AAUUAUCCAUCAGACUGGUGAAUGGGACCAGUUCCUGCUCUGGGAUAGUGGAAUCCUUUUAUGAAGGAGAGUAGUUAGGUCUAUGUCCUCGAAGGUGAAAAAUGACCAAAGCUAAAGUUGUGUGUAGAGAACUGGGCUGUGUGAAUACUAUAGCUGCAUCUAGAGGACCUCCGGUUGUAGAGAGAAGAGGAGGAGUCAAAAUUUUGGGUUGCAGGGGAGAAGAGUCUUCUCUUAGAGCGUGUGACAUCAGAGGAGGACCUGGUGUCUGUGAUGGUAGAUAUUAUGGUCAUGUGAUCUGUUCAGCUGAGUUAUCCGUCAAGAUGGGUGAAUGGGACCAGUUCCUGCUCUGGGACAGUGGAAGACUUUUAUGAAGGAGAGUGGUAAAGGUCUAUGUUUUUGGUGGUUGUGGGGCAUGAGGCUAGCUGAGAUUGUGUGUAGAGAGGUGGGCUGUGGGAAUGAAGUAGCUAUAGGACAUCUGUUUGAGAAGGAUAAAGUAGUUGUCGGACUGAGUUGUAGGGGAGACGAGUCUUCUCUGGAACAGUGUCGCAUUUUUGAAGGAGGACCUGGUGCCUGUGAGAGUUUUUAUGAACGUCAUGUGAUCUGUUCAGAGUCUGUGCGGCUUGUGGAUGGAGCUGGGUUCUGCUCCAGAAGAGUGGAGGUGAAGUGAAGUCAGUCCUGGGCCUCAGUGUGCGAAGCUGACUUUGACCGGCAGGAUGCAGAGGUAGUCUGCGGGGAGCUUGGCUGUGGGGCUCCUGCAGCUCUACAGCGGGGGCUCUAUGGAGAAGGGCAGGGUCAGACCUGGGAUAAAGAGUUCCAGUGUAAAGGCAAUGAGUCCCUUCUCCUGGACUGUGACACCUCAGACAGAAAAAAUAACAACUACCUAUCUGGUAAUGCUGUUGGACUCACCAGCUCAGAGGUUGAUUAUGUGAGGCUGGUGGAAGGAGGUAGUCGCUGUGCUGGUGGAGUGGAGGACUGUGGGAACUGAUGACUGGGAGGAUGUGG